GCCUACGGGGCGCAGCAGUCGGGAAUAUUGCGCAAUGGAGGAAACUCUGACGCAGUGACGCCGCGUGCAGGAAGAAGGUUUUCGGAUUGUAAACUGCUUUAGACAGGGAAGAAAGAAAUGACGGUACCUGUAGAAUAAGCUCCGGCUAACUACGUGCCAGCAGCCGCGGUAAUACGUAGGUGGCAAGCGUUGUCCGGAUUUAUUGGGCGUAAAGCGAGUGCAGGCGGUUCAAUAAAGCUGUUGUGAAAGCCUUCGGCUCAAC
Molecule: ribosomal RNA, 262 nt
Filed under: uncultured bacterium
Lineage: Bacteria
Description: partial 16S ribosomal RNA
Rfam family: Bacterial small subunit ribosomal RNA
Source: RNAcentral